AACUUAAGCAUAUCAAUAAGCGGAGGAAAAGAAACUAACAAGGAUUCCCCUAGUAGCGGCGAGCGAAGCGGGAAGAGCUCAAAUUUAUAAUCUGGCACCUUCGGUGUCCGAGUUGUAAUCUCUAGAAAUGUUUUCCGCGUUGGACCGCACACAAGUCUGUUGGAAUACAGCGGCAUAGUGGUGAGACCCCCGUAUAUGGUGCGGACGCCCAGCGCUUUGUGAUACAUUUUCGAAGAGUCGAGUUGUUUGGGAAUGCAGCUCAAAUUGGGUGGUAAAUUCCAUCUAAAGCUAAAUAUUGGCGAGAGACCGAUAGCGAACAAGUACCGUGAGGGAAAGAUGAAAAGCACUUUGGAAAGAGAGUUAACAGUACGUGAAAUUGUUGGAAGGGAAACGCUUGAAGUCAGACUUGCUUGCCGAGCAAUCGGUUUGCAGGCCAGCAUCAGUUUUCCGGGAUGGAUAAUGGUAGAGAGAAGGUAGCAGUUUCGGCUGUGUUAUAGCUCUCUGCUGGAUACAUCUUGGGGGACUGAGGAACGCAGUGUGCCUUUGGCGGGGGUUUCGACCUCUUCACACUUAGGAUGCUGGUGGAAUGGCUUUAAACGACCCGUCUUGAAACACGGACCAAGGAGUCUAACAUGCUUGCGAGUAUUUGGGUGUCAAACCCGGAUGCGUAAUGAAAGUGAAUG
RNAcentral lists this ribosomal RNA (683 nucleotides) under Rhodotorula mucilaginosa. RNAcentral's name for it is "LSU rRNA". It matches the Rfam family "Eukaryotic large subunit ribosomal RNA", at positions 31 to 731 of the family's 3401-position model. Lineage: Eukaryota; Fungi; Basidiomycota; Microbotryomycetes; Sporidiobolales; Sporidiobolaceae. The record is from RNAcentral.